This 216-nucleotide ribosomal RNA is filed under the name Glomeromycotina sp. Its description in RNAcentral is "partial small subunit ribosomal RNA". The stretch from base 40 to 216 matches the Rfam family "Eukaryotic small subunit ribosomal RNA", at positions 686 to 864 of the family's 1831-position model. Lineage: Eukaryota; Fungi; Glomeromycota. The record is from RNAcentral.
GGGUCAGUAGGUUGGUCGUGCCACCGGUACGUACUGGUCUCACUGAUUCCUCCUUCCUGAAGAACCGUAAUGCCAUUAAUUUGGUGUUGCGGGGAAACAGGACUGUUACUUUGAAAAAAUUAGAGUGUUUAAAGCAAGCUAACGCUUGAAUACAUGAGCAUGGAAUAAUGAAAUAGGACGAUCGAUCCUAUUUUGUUGGUUUCUAGGAUUGACGUA